GCCAACCAGCUAGCUUAACUAUCUAUAUAAUUCAACAAUAUUUAUAACAAAGCAUGGACUAGCACCAUAAACUAAACCAUUUUUUUACCUUAGUACGGGAGACGGAAAAGGUCUAACCUAAAGCAAUAGAGAAAGUACCGCAAGGGAAAGCUGAAAGAGAAGUGAAAUAACCCAUAUAAGCAAUGAAAAACAAAGACUAAACCUUGUACCUUUUGCAUCAUGAUUUAGCCAGUACCCUCAAGCAAAGAGACCUUUAGUUUGAAACCCCGAAACCAGGUGAGCUACCCCGAGACAGCCUAUGUUAAUUUAGGGCUAACCCGUCUCUGUGGCAAAAGAGUGGGAAGAGCUCCGGGUAGAAGUGACAGACCUACCGAACCUGGUGAUAGCUGGUUGCCUGAGAAGUGGAUAGAAGUUCAGCCUCGUGCACCCCGAACCAGAGAAUACAUCAAUAAGAUACUCAGGGAAAAGCACGAGAGUUAGUUGAAGGGGGUACAGCCCCUUCAACAAAGGAUACAACCUUCACAGGAGGAUAAAGAUCAUAAUAUAUAAAACACACUGUUCUAGUGGGCCUAAAGGCAGCCAUCUAAAUAGAAAGCGUUAAAGCUCAGACAGAAAGAAGUUUAUUAUUCCGAUAAAAAAUCUUACUCCCCUAAUUGUAUCAGGCCAACCCAUGCCGACAUGGAAGAGAUUAUGCUAAAAUGAGUAACAAGAAGAUCUGCUCUUCUCCCAGCACAAGUGUAAACCAGGCCGGACUAACCACUGGAGCUUAACGAACCCAACCGAAGAGGGUAGUGUGGAUAAUACAGACCUCAGGAAGAACUCACAACUAAAUAAUCGUUAAUCCCACACUGGCGUGCUAUUUUUAAGGGAAAGACUAAAAGAGGGGGAAGGAACUCGGCAAACACAAGCCUCGCCUGUUUACCAAAAACAUCGCCUCCUGCAACUAUGCUGAGUAUAGGAGGUCCAGCCUGCCCAGUGACUACGAGUUUAACGGCCGCGGUAUUUUGACCGUGCAAAGGUAGCGCAAUCACUUGUCUCUUAAAUAGAGACCUGUAUGAAUGGCUAGACGAGGGCUUAGCUGUCUCCCCCCUCCGGUCAGUGAAAUUGAUCUAUCCGUGCAGAAGCGGGUAUAAUCAUACAAGACGAGAAGACCCUUUGGAGCUUAAGGUACAAAGUUCAACCAUGUUAAACGACUCCAUGAAAAGCAAGAACUUAGUGGCACAUGAAGUUUUACCUUCGGUUGGGGCGACCGCGGAGGAAAAAGAAGCCUCCGAGUGGACUGGGCUACACCCCCAAAGCCAAGAGAUACAUCUAUAAGCCGCAGAACAUCUGACCAAUAAUGAUCCGACUGAAAAGCCGAUCAACGAACCAAGUUACCCUAGGGAUAACAGCGCAAUCCUCUCCCAGAGUCCAUAUCGACGAGGGGGUUUACGACCUCGAUGUUGGAUCAGGACAUCCUAAUGGUGCAGCCGCUAUUAAGGGUUCGUUUGUUCAACGAUUAAAGUCCUACGUGAUCUGAGUUCAGACCGGAGUAAUCCAGGUCAGUUUCUAUCUGUAGCGCUACUUUUCCUAGUACGAAAGGAUCGGAAAAGAGGGGCCCAUGCUUAGAGCACGCCCCGCCCCUAAUUAAUGAAAGCAAAUAAAUUAAGUAAAGGGAGGGCCAAAACCCCUGCCGUCCAAAAUAAGGACAU
This 1691-nucleotide ribosomal RNA is filed under the name Leuciscus merzbacheri (Zhungarian ide). Its description in RNAcentral is "16S ribosomal RNA". It matches the Rfam family "Bacterial large subunit ribosomal RNA". The record is from RNAcentral. Lineage: Eukaryota; Metazoa; Chordata; Actinopteri; Cypriniformes; Leuciscidae.